AUGGUGAAGGAGAAGACGGCGGCCCUGGAACGAGCGAAGAAGGCGACGGCGAAGACGAAGGGAAGGGCGACCAGUCGGGGUGGAUCUUCAUCGAGGGCCGGCCUGCCACAGGGCUGGAUCCAGGGCGACUGGAUCCGCUCGACGAUUCGUCAAGAAGAUCUUGACGACCUGGCCAAUGGAGGACUGAUCCCCCAUGGAUCGGUGCGGCUCCCGGGGAAGGAGUCUGAGCUGCAGCCUGAGGAGGGUGAGGUCGUUCUCUUGGCCACUCAUGUCGACCGUGGGUUUUCUUUGCAGCCUCAUCCUUUCUUUCGGGGAUUUCUGAAUUUCUUUGGGGCGCAACUCCAC
This 345-nucleotide ribosomal RNA is filed under the name Triticum aestivum (bread wheat). Its description in RNAcentral is "partial small subunit ribosomal RNA". Lineage: Eukaryota; Viridiplantae; Streptophyta; Magnoliopsida; Poales; Poaceae. The record is from RNAcentral.